UGAGGCCACGCCCCCGCCACGCCCCUUAAAGGCCCGGCGGCCGUGAGCAACCGGACCCUACAUCCCGCGUGGGCUGCCAGGGGAGGACCCAGAGUCCUCCGCGAUUUCCGUCUCCAGGGUUUCCGCCCAGAUGCCAGCGAUUUCCUUCUAUAAGUUUUUGAAAUGACACUCCAUUAUCCUGGAGCUGGGCCAGAGAAGCAACCUUCCACCCUUUGACCCUCUUCCCUGCACCCCUCAGGUGAACAAUGAAAACCAACCACUUCCUGAGUUUGUGCUGUGUACAACAAACUACUGACUACUUGAAGUCACACUCAACCACUACAAGGAAAUACCUAGAAAGGACAAGGGGGAGAGGGAGUCUGAAAAAGAUGCUCACCCUACCAUGGCUUUGUGACUUGGUGCAAACAAAUUACCUAGUCUUUCUGGGCUUCCUCAUUAAGAAGGAAAAGUGAUUCCGGGAUCUAGCUUACAGGACCGUCAGGGGAUUCAUGCAUGCAUGCAGAAGGGCUUGAAGGUUUGGAAGCACAGUAUCUCAAAGUGUAUGCUCUGAGAACCGGAAGCUAUGAGAACCAGAAGCUAGAAGGCAGCGGGCAGUGGCUCUGCCACUUACUCGGAGG
Arvicanthis niloticus (Nile rat) is the source of this 617-nucleotide non-coding RNA. NCBI's taxonomy places the organism in Eukaryota, Metazoa, Chordata, Mammalia, Rodentia, Muridae. The record is from RefSeq and is a predicted model, not a curated record.